UGGGGAAUAUUGCACAAUGGGCGAAAGCCUGAUGCAGCGACGCCGCGUGAGGGAUGACGGCCUUCGGGUUGUAAACCUCUUUCAGCAGGGAAGAAGCGAAAGUGGACGGUACCUGCAGAAGAAGCGCCGGUAACUACGUGCCAGCAGCCGCGGUAAUACGUAGGGCGCAAGCGUUGUCCGGAAUUAUUGGGCGUAAAGAGCUCGUAGGCGGUUAGUCGCGUCUGCUGUGAAAACUCGAGGCCCAACCUCGGGCUUGCAGUGGGUACGGGCUGACUAGAGUGCGGUAGGGGUGACUGGAAUUCCUGGUNUAGCGGUGGAAAUGCGCAGAUAUCAGGAGGAACACCGAUGGCGAAGGCAGGUCACUGGGCCGCAACUGACGCUGAGGAGCGAAAGCAUGGGGAGCGAACAGGAUUAGAUACCCUGGUAGUCCAUGCCGUAAACGUUGGGCACUAGGUGUGGGUCCAUUCCACGGAUUCCGUGCCGCAGCAAACGCAUUAAGUGCCCCGCCUGGGGAGUACGGCCGCAAGGCUAAAA
This 534-nucleotide ribosomal RNA is filed under the name uncultured bacterium. RNAcentral describes it as "partial 16S ribosomal RNA". It matches the Rfam family "Bacterial small subunit ribosomal RNA", at positions 355 to 899 of the family's 1533-position model. The record is from RNAcentral.